Molecule: unclassified non-coding RNA, 233 nt
Filed under: Hevea brasiliensis (rubber tree)
Lineage: Eukaryota; Viridiplantae; Streptophyta; Magnoliopsida; Malpighiales; Euphorbiaceae
Source: RNAcentral
UUUUAUUUGCCUUGAUGAUGAAUGCACUGCGACAUAUCCAAGGGUGAAUGUUUUGCAAAUGGCAUUGUAUCGAUUGACAAUAAGCUAGAGGUUGGACACAGACCUGAGACUUUAAAGGGUUUGAGUUGGGCAGGACUAAGAUUGAGUACUUAGAUUGCAAGUGCAGUGACAUUACCCAUGAGGAGGAUGUGGAAGUGAGGAUUGAUACUAAGGUCAUCGCUAGGAGAGAAAAG